UGCUGCACGAAGUCUGACGGAGCACGCCGCGUGAGUGAUGAAGGUUUUCGGAUCGUAAAGCUCUGUUGUUAGGGAAGAACAAGUACCGUUCGAAUAGGGCGGUACCUUGACGGUACCUAACCAGAAAGCCACGGCUAACUACGUGCCAGCAGCCGCGGUAAUACGUAGGUGGCAAGCGUUGUCCGGAAUUAUUGGGCGUAAAGGGCUCGCAGGCGGUUUCUUAAGUCUGAUGUGAAAGCCCCCGGCUCAACCGGGGAGGGUCAUUGGAAACUGGGGAACUUGAGUGCAGAAGAGGAGAGUGGAAUUCCACGUGUAGCGGUGAAAUGCGUAGAGAUGUGGAGGAACACCAGUGGCGAAGGCGACUCUCUGGUCUGUAACUGACGCUGAGGAGCGAAAGCGUGGGGAGCGAACAGGAUUAGAUACCCUGGUAGUCCACGCCGUAAACGAUGAGUGCUAAGUGUUAGGGGGUUUCCGCCCCUUAGUGCUGCAGCUAACGCAUUAAGCACUCCGCCUGGGGAGUACGGUCGCAAGACUGAAACUCAUGGAA
RNAcentral lists this ribosomal RNA (547 nucleotides) under uncultured bacterium. RNAcentral's name for it is "bacterial SSU rRNA". It matches the Rfam family "Bacterial small subunit ribosomal RNA", at positions 369 to 908 of the family's 1533-position model. The record is from RNAcentral.